UACGAAGGGGGCAAGCGUUGUUCGGAAUUAUUGGGCGUAAAGGGAGCGUAGGCGGUUCGGCAAGUCUUUAGUGAAAUCUCUGGGCUCAACUCAGAGUCUGCUGGAGAAACUGCCGGGCUGGAGUAUGGGAGAGGUGAGUGGAAUUCCGAGUGUAGAGGUGAAAUUCGUAGAUAUUCGGAAGAACACCAGUGGCGAAGGCGACUUACUGGACACAUAUUGACGCUGAGGUGCGAAAGCGUGGGGAGCAAACAGG
This 253-nucleotide ribosomal RNA is filed under the name uncultured bacterium. Its description in RNAcentral is "partial 16S ribosomal RNA". It matches the Rfam family "Bacterial small subunit ribosomal RNA", at positions 524 to 776 of the family's 1533-position model. The record is from RNAcentral.